Unclassified non-coding RNA from Callithrix jacchus (white-tufted-ear marmoset), 147 nucleotides. It matches the Rfam family "Metazoan signal recognition particle RNA". Rfam says of the family: The signal recognition particle (SRP) is a universally conserved ribonucleoprotein. It is involved in the co-translational targeting of proteins to membranes. The eukaryotic SRP consists of a 300-nucleotide 7S RNA and six proteins: SRPs 72, 68, 54, 19, 14, and 9. Lineage: Eukaryota; Metazoa; Chordata; Mammalia; Primates; Cebidae. The record is from Ensembl.
GCUGGGCAUGGUGGCGGGCGCCUGUAAUCCCAGCUACUCGGGAGGCUGAGGCAGGAGAAUUGCUUGAACCCGGGAGGUGGAGGUUGCAGUGACCAAGAUUGAGCCACUGCACUCCAGCCUGGGUAACAGAGCAAGACUCUGUCUCAA